This 85-nucleotide transfer RNA is filed under the name Trametes versicolor FP-101664 SS1. It matches the Rfam family "tRNA". Rfam says of the family: Transfer RNA (tRNA) molecules are approximately 80 nucleotides in length. Their secondary structure includes four short double-helical elements and three loops (D, anti-codon, and T loops). Further hydrogen bonds mediate the characteristic L-shaped molecular structure. tRNAs have two regions of fundamental functional importance: the anti-codon, which is responsible for specific mRNA codon recognition, and the 3' end, to which the tRNAs corresponding amino acid is attached (by aminoacyl-tRNA synthetases). tRNAs cope with the degeneracy of the genetic code in two manners: having more than one tRNA (with a specific anti-codon) for a particular amino acid; and 'wobble' base-pairing, i.e. permitting non-standard base-pairing at the 3rd anti-codon position. The record is from Rfam by way of RNAcentral. Lineage: Eukaryota; Fungi; Basidiomycota; Agaricomycetes; Polyporales; Polyporaceae.
GGCCGCCUGGCGAAAUGGCAUCGCGUCUGACUACGAUGCUUACGUAACGAUCAGGAGAUUGCAGGUUCGAUCCCUGCGGUGGUCA